RNAcentral lists this long non-coding RNA (207 nucleotides) under Vigna radiata. RNAcentral's name for it is "long non-coding RNA (VRAD_LNC018286)". Lineage: Eukaryota; Viridiplantae; Streptophyta; Magnoliopsida; Fabales; Fabaceae. The record is from RNAcentral.
GAGAUCUUUCGAAUAUUUCAAAACUAUAAAUGGAGGCUCUCAUCUCUUAAACAAGGAGAACUAACUGUAAUUAAAUUUCACAAACUAAAGGUUAUUUAGGAUGAACUUCACAACUUUGAACCUCCUGAAACUUCUUGUAGUUUUUCUACAAAAUCUUCUUACAAUGUUAUCUUUUUUAUCACACAAAAGGUUGAAGAUCAUGCCAUG